UACGGAGGGUGCAAGCGUUAAUCGGAAUUACUGGGCGUAAAGCGUGCGCAGGCGGUUUGUUAAGUCCGCUGUGAAAUCCCCGAGCUCAACUUGGGAAUUGCAGUGGAUACUGGCAAGCUGGAGUAUGGUAGAGGAAGGUGGAAUUCCCGGUGUAGCAGUGAAAUGCGUAGAGAUCAGGAGGAACACCGGUGGCGAAGGCGGCCCACUGGGCAGUCACUGACGCUGAGGCGCGAAAGCUCGGGGAGCGAACGGG
Molecule: ribosomal RNA, 253 nt
Filed under: uncultured bacterium
Lineage: Bacteria
Description: partial 16S ribosomal RNA
Rfam family: Bacterial small subunit ribosomal RNA
Source: RNAcentral